Molecule: Y RNA, 98 nt
Filed under: Microcebus murinus (gray mouse lemur)
Lineage: Eukaryota; Metazoa; Chordata; Mammalia; Primates; Cheirogaleidae
Description: Y RNA (ENSMICG00000021692.3)
Rfam family: Y RNA
About the family: Y RNAs are components of the Ro ribonucleoprotein particle (Ro RNP), in association with Ro60 and La proteins. The Y RNAs and Ro60 and La proteins are well conserved, but the function of the Ro RNP is not known.
Source: Rfam by way of RNAcentral
GGCUGGUCCAAGUGCAGUGAUAUUUACGACUAAUUGAUCACAGUCAUAGAUUUCUUUGUUCCUUCUCCACUUGUCCUGCUUCACUUGAUGAGCCUCAA